CGCCUUUCUAACACAAUUUGAUUCUAAUCCAAUUCAUAUGCAACUCUUUUUACAUCUUUCAAAUUUGGCAACAGCAACUCUACAUUUUAUUGUCGUGGAUCGAUGAAUGAAUGAAGAACGAACGAACCUAGUAAAUAGUGCUUUAUAACAGUAAGUUCCUGUCUAUGGGAAUUGCACAAGUACCUAUACAAAAGAUACAAAGCAAAAUCAAGUAGAUAGCAGACUAGCACGUUAGUGUUAAAUCUACAGAUCCUACAAGCUCGAAAGGAAAACAAGGAUCAUUAUAUCUCAUCCGACCUCUGAUCAUCUUUAGCCCAACAUAUCUCCCCAUCAUCAUCAGAGUAGUCUGAGGAUUAGUCCCUGGAGAUACACUAAGUACUGAACCAUCAACAAAUCUAAGCGCUCCAAUGCCAUAGACGUGGUAAUCACUAUUGAACACUUCUCCCACAACACAUCCCCCAUGGUAAUGCCAUAUGGUGCUAACAGUUCCGUGACAAAAAUCAGCCAUCUCAACAAAAUCAGAUUGAUCAAUAGGCAUUGCAGGCCCGACAAAUCUGAAACUACGAGCUCCAAACCAUUCACGGAACAUAAAGUCUUCCAUGGACCGACUUCUCAACACAUCCCCAAUCUUGCGUAUGCCAUUUACACAUCUUUCUACAUCCACUGGAUUUGAAAAGUAAUUGAAUCGAACAAUUGGGUUCACUCUGAUGUCUGUUGAAGCAAGCCUUAGCAAGCCAGUCGAAAGAGGCCCGAUGAUUUUCUCCAUAAAGGUAGCCAUUGUGAGAU
This 786-nucleotide unclassified non-coding RNA is filed under the name Hevea brasiliensis (rubber tree). The record is from RNAcentral. Lineage: Eukaryota; Viridiplantae; Streptophyta; Magnoliopsida; Malpighiales; Euphorbiaceae.